CCAGGGUACAGGGCAGGAGCCUGGACCUCUUUACAGUUGCCUUUUCUCUCUCUCUGUCCCUUCUCCAUCUUCCGAGCUCCUACUCGCCCUUCAGGACCCAGCUCGAAUGCCCCAUCUCUGGGAGGCACCUUCAAUCUUGGGCUGCCCCUUCCGUCACACCCCCUGUCCCCUGUCUCCUGCCUCCCCCUCCUCCUCACGCAAAGCCACCCCCACCUGUUGGUGGCCUGUGUCUCCGCUGGCCCAGGGCUCUCUUGCUGUGGCCACCGUGGGUUUUGGCCUCGUGACGCAGUCCAUGCGUGCACAGCGCAAGUAGCUUCCCAGGACACCGAUUCCCUCCCCGGCCGCAGCUGCUUCUGGUCCUCUGCCCACUCCCGGGUUCUGCGCCCUCCUGCGUCCCCGGCCUGGCCACAGCUCGGUCACCCCAGGACCACCGUGUGCUGGGGAUUUGUCACGGGUUUGUCCUGACGUGUGAGGUCCAGCCGGGGUCCCCAUCAGCCUCCCUGUCCCCGUCCCUGUCCCCGUCCCUGUACCCGUCAGGCCUCCUGCUGCGCUGUGGGCAGUGGCUUAGCGCCAUCUGCUGGGCUGGUGCCUGUAGUGCCGCCAAGCGCAGGAGGGACCCAGCGGCUCCAGGUCUGUGGGAGACUUUAAGUUGGGGCCGAAUGUGGUGCUCGCUGCCAAAGCAGAGCCCCCAAGCUGGACAGGACCCCUGGCCGUGCGGCUGAGAACACCUGGGGUUGUCCUACCUUUGCAGGGACAGCGAGCCAACCCCUGCUUGGAAGGAGCACUUUCCCCACCGAGGCCGGCCCAGGGCGCGUGCUGAGCAGGUGUGUUGAGUGGGUGGAAAGAAUGCAACCCCUGGUUGUGGGACAUGUUGAAGCCCACCCCAACCCCUCCAGUACCGUCCUUCUGUCCCUCCACUUGCUGGGGCUGGGGGCCGAGGAUGGGGUCACUGUGGGGACUUUAUCCAGCUGGUUGACUUCAGGGUCCUGGCAGGGAGUGGCUCUUGCUGCCAGGACAGUAGAGGCCUAGAGAGUCCUAUCUCUGACACCAGCCACCUUGUGGGAGGCCUGAUCUCUGACACCAGCCACCUUGCAGGGUUUGGGCCAGGGAAGGGGAAGGGAUGGGAGAGAAUGGAAGCCUCCAGAGUCAUUUUAACUGGUCGUUGGACAGAGCCAGUGCGACUUCAAGUUCAAUGACAAACCCCCUCUCCAUGUCUCUGGGGUGGGGUGGGGCCUGUGGCCCCACAGAGCUGAGCCACCCAGGAGGCCAGGGAAGGAGACGCAGUACACAGGAGGCCAGGGAAGGAGACGCAGUACACAGGAGCCCAGCAUCCUCUCAGCUGCAUGGACAUCUCUACCCAGACCCUUCUGCAGCCACGUCCCCACUUACCCAGCAGGAGACCAAGCCAAUUCUUUCCUGCAAAACUGUGCUGGCCUCUGUGACUGUCCUGCAACCAGACAGAGGCCUGAGGGACUCUGCACAGUUUCUGGGCUGAGGCAGAAGAAGCCCCAUGGCUUCCCCUCUGCCUCCUGCAUGCUGCCUCUUAGCUCUUAGCACCUGCUGGGAGAAGCUGGCCCCAGCGUGGACAAGCCUCCAGGAGACCGGAGCACCCACCGGAAGGAAGGGAGGGAAGGAGGGAGGGAGGAAGGGCCAUGGAGGUAAAACGAAGUUAUUAGGGUGGGCCCAAAUCUGACUGGUGUCCGUAGACAAAGGGGAGAUUAGGACACAGACAUGCACAGAGGGAUGACACCGUGAGGACACACGGAGAAGACGGCAUCUGCAAGCCCAGAAGAGAGGCCUUGGGAGGACCCAACCCUGCCCACACCUUGAUCUUGGACUUCCAGUCUCCAUGACUGUGAGAGGGUAAAUAAAUGCAUGCUGUUAAGGCCACGG
RNAcentral lists this long non-coding RNA (1893 nucleotides) under Pan troglodytes (chimpanzee). RNAcentral's name for it is "lincRNA". The record is from RNAcentral. Lineage: Eukaryota; Metazoa; Chordata; Mammalia; Primates; Hominidae.